UCUAAGCACAUGCCUUAAUACGGUGAAGCCGCGAAUAGCUCAUUACAACAGCCACCGUUUACUAGAAUAUAGUUAUCCUACUUGGAUAACUGUGGCAAUUCUAGAGCUAAUACAUGCAAAAAAUCUCCGACCGCAAGGAAAGAGAGCAUUUAUUAGAAUAAAAACCAAUCGGGUUUCGGCCCGUAAUUUGGUGAAUCUGAAUAACUUUGCCAAUCGCACAGUCCUAGUACUGGCGAUGUAUCUUUCAAGUGUCUGCCUUAUCAACUUUCGAUGGUAGGUUAUACGCCUACCAUGGUAGUAACGGGUAACGGAGAAUAAGGGUUCGACUCCGGAGAGGGAGCCUGAGAAACGGCUACCACAUCCAAGGAAGGCAGCAGGCGCGCAAAUUACCCACUUCCAGAACGGAGAGGUAGUGACGAAAAAUAACGAGACAGUCCUCUUCGAGGUCUGUCAUCGGAAUGGGUACAAUUUAAAUCCUUUAACGAGGAUCUAUUGGAGGGCAAGUCUGGUGCCAG
RNAcentral lists this ribosomal RNA (515 nucleotides) under Nematoda environmental sample. RNAcentral describes it as "SSU rRNA". It matches the Rfam family "Eukaryotic small subunit ribosomal RNA", at positions 58 to 570 of the family's 1831-position model. Lineage: Eukaryota; Metazoa; Nematoda. The record is from RNAcentral.